RNAcentral lists this ribosomal RNA (305 nucleotides) under uncultured bacterium. RNAcentral describes it as "bacterial SSU rRNA". It matches the Rfam family "Bacterial small subunit ribosomal RNA", at positions 337 to 659 of the family's 1533-position model. The record is from RNAcentral.
UCCUACGGGGCGCAGCAGUGGGGGAUAUUGCACAAUGGGGGGAACCCUGAUGCGGCGACGCCGCGUGGGCGAUGGAGUACUUCGGUAUGUAAAGCCCUAUCAGCAGGGAAGAAAAUGACGGUACCUGACUAAGAAGCCCCGGCUAAAUACGUGCCAGCAGCCGCGGUAAUACGUAUGGGGCAAGCGUUAUCCGGAUUUACUGGGUGUAAAGGGAGCGUAGACGGCGCGGCAAGUCUGAAGUGAAAGGCAGGGGCUUAACCCCUGAACUGCUUUGGAAACUGCCAUGCUAGAGUGCUGGAGAGGUA